UACGGAGGAUGCGAGCGUUAUCCGGAUUUAUUGGGUUUAAAGGGUGCGUAGGCGGCCUUUUAAGUCAGCGGUGAAAGUCUGUGGCUCAACCAUAGAAUUGCCGUUGAAACUGGGGGGCUUGAGUAUGUUUGAGGCAGGCGGAAUGCGUGGUGUAGCGGUGAAAUGCAUAGAUAUCACGCAGAACCCCGAUUGCGAAGGCAGCAUACCGGUGCACAACUGACGCUCAGGCACGAAAGCGUGGGUAUCGAACAGG
Molecule: ribosomal RNA, 253 nt
Filed under: uncultured Parabacteroides sp.
Lineage: Bacteria; Pseudomonadati; Bacteroidota; Bacteroidia; Bacteroidales; Tannerellaceae
Description: partial 16S ribosomal RNA
Rfam family: Bacterial small subunit ribosomal RNA
Source: RNAcentral